This 458-nucleotide ribosomal RNA is filed under the name uncultured bacterium. Its description in RNAcentral is "partial 16S ribosomal RNA". It matches the Rfam family "Bacterial small subunit ribosomal RNA", at positions 338 to 795 of the family's 1533-position model. The record is from RNAcentral.
CCUACGGGUGGCAGCAGUGGGGAAUAUUGCACAAUGGGGGAAAGCCUGAUGCAGCGACGCCGCGUGAGUGAAGAAGUAAUUCGUUACGUAAAGCUCUAUCAGCAGGGAAGAAAUACUGACCUUACGGUCAGCAGACUGUACCUGAGUAAGAAGCCCCGUCUAACUACGUGCCAGCCGCCGCGGUAAUACGUGGGGGGCACGCGUUAUCCGGAUUUACUGGGUGUAAAGGGAGCGUAGACGGUGCGCGAAGUCUGGAGUGAAAUGCCGCGGCUUAACUGCGGAACUGCUUUGGAAACUGGCGAACUAGAGUGCGGGAGGGGUAAGCGGAAUUCCUAGUGUAGCGGUGAAAUGCGUAGAUAUUAGGAGGAACACCGGUGGCGAAGGCAGCUUACUGGACCGUAACUGACGUUGAGGCUCGAAAGCGUGGGGAGCAAACAGGAUUAGAUACCCGGGUAGUC